CAUAGGUUAAUGAGGCGAACCGGGGGAACUGAAACAUCUAAGUACCCCGAGGAAAAGAAAUCAACCGAGAUUCCCCCAGUAGCGGCGAGCGAACGGGGAGGAGCCCAGAGCCUGAAUCAGUGUGUGUGUUAGUGGAAGCGUCUGGAAAGGCGCGCGAUACAGGGUGACAGCCCCGUACACAAAAAUGCACAUAUUGUGAGCUCGAUGAGUAGGGCGGGACACGUGGUAUCCUGUCUGAAUAUGGGGGGACCAUCCUCCAAGGCUAAAUACUCCUGACUGACCGAUAGUGAACCAGUACCGUGAGGGAAAGGCGAAAAGAACCCCGGCGAGGGGAGUGAAAAAGAACCUGAAACCGUGUACGUACAAGCAGUGGGAGCCUCUUUAUGGGGUGACUGCGUACCUUUUGUAUAAUGGGUCAGCGACUUAUAUUCUGUAGCAAGGUUAACCGAAUAGGGGAGCCGAAGGGAAACCGAGUCUUAACUGGGCGUUAAGUUGCAGGGUAUAGACCCGAAACCCGGUGAUCUAGCCAUGGGCAGGUUGAAGGUUGGGUAACACUAACUGGAGGACCGAACCGACUAAUGUUGAAAAAUUAGCGGAUGACUUGUGGCUGGGGGUGAAAGGCCAAUCAAACCGGGAGAUAGCUGGUUCUCCCCGAAAGCUAUUUAGGUAGCGCCUCGUGAAUUCAUCUCCGGGGGUAGAGCACUGUUUCGGCAAGGGGGUCAUCCCGACUUACCAACCCGAUGCAAACUGCGAAUACCGGAGAAUGUUAUCACGGGAGACACACGGCGGGUGCUAACGUCCGUCGUGAAGAGGGAAACAACCCAGACCGCCAGCUAAGGUCCCAAAGUCAUGGUUAAGUGGGAAACGAUGUGGGAAGGCCCAGACAGCCAGGAUGUUGGCUUAGAAGCAGCCAUCAUUUAAAGAAAGCGUAAUAGCUCACUGGUCGAGUCGGCCUGCGCGGAAGAUGUAACGGGGCUAAACCAUGCACCGAAGCUGCGGCAGCGACACUAUGUGUUGUUGGGUAGGGGAGCGUUCUGUAAGCCUGUGAAGGUGGCCUGUGAGGGUUGCUGGAGGUAUCAGAAGUGCGAAUGCUGACAUAAGUAACGAUAAAGCGGGUGAAAAGCCCGCUCGCCGGAAGACCAAGGGUUCCUGUCCAACGUUAAUCGGGGCAGGGUGAGUCGACCCCUAAGGCGAGGCCGAAAGGCGUAGUCGAUGGGAAACAGGUUAAUAUUCCUGUACUUGGUGUUACUGCGAAGGGGGGACGGAGAAGGCUAUGUUGGCCGGGCGACGGUUGUCCCGGUUUAAGCGUGUAGGCUGGUUUUCCAGGCAAAUCCGGAAAACCAAGGCUGAGGCGUGAUGACGAGGCACUACGGUGCUGAAGCGACAAAUGCCCUGCUUCCAGGAAAAGCCUCUAAGCAUCAGGUAACAUCAAAUCGUACCCCAAACCGACACAGGUGGUCAGGUAGAGAAUACCAAGGCGCUUGAGAGAACUCGGGUGAAGGAACUAGGCAAAAUGGUGCCGUAACUUCGGGAGAAGGCACGCUGAUAUGUAGGUGAAGCGACUUGCUCGUGGAGCUGAAAUCAGUCGAAGAUACCAGCUGGCUGCAACUGUUUAUUAAAAACACAGCACUGUGCAAACACGAAAGUGGACGUAUACGGUGUGACGCCUGCCCGGUGCCGGAAGGUUAAUUGAUGGGGUUAGCGGUAACGCGAAGCUCUUGAUCGAAGCCCCGGUAAACGGCGGCCGUAACUAUAACGGUCCUAAGGUAGCGAAAUUCCUUGUCGGGUAAGUUCCGACCUGCACGAAUGGCGUAAUGAUGGCCAGGCUGUCUCCACCCGAGACUCAGUGAAAUUGAACUCGCUGUGAAGAUGCAGUGUACCCGCGGCAAGACGGAAAGACCCCGUGAACCUUUACUAUAGCUUGACACUGAACAUUGAGCCUUGAUGUGUAGGAUAGGUGGGAGGCUUUGAAGUGUGGACGCCAGUCUGCAUGGAGCCGACCUUGAAAUACCACCCUUUAAUGUUUGAUGUUCUAACGUUGGCCCGUAAUCCGGGUUGCGGACAGUGUCUGGUGGGUAGUUUGACUGGGGCGGUCUCCUCCUAAAGAGUAACGGAGGAGCACGAAGGUUGGCUAAUCCUGGUCGGACAUCAGGAGGUUAGUGCAAUGGCAUAAGCCAGCUUGACUGCGAGCGUGACGGCGCGAGCAGGUGCGAAAGCAGGUCAUAGUGAUCCGGUGGUUCUGAAUGGAAGGGCCAUCGCUCAACGGAUAAAAGGUACUCCGGGGAUAACAGGCUGAUACCGCCCAAGAGUUCAUAUCGACGGCGGUGUUUGGCACCUCGAUGUCGGCUCAUCACAUCCUGGGGCUGAAGUAGGUCCCAAGGGUAUGGCUGUUCGCCAUUUAAAGUGGUACGCGAGCUGGGUUUAGAACGUCGUGAGACAGUUCGGUCCCUAUCUGCCGUGGGCGCUGGAGAACUGAGGGGGGCUGCUCCUAGUACGAGAGGACCGGAGUGGACGCAUCACUGGUGUUCGGGUUGUCAUGCCAAUGGCACUGCCCGGUAGCUAAAUGCGGAAGAGAUAAGUGCUGAAAGCAUCUAAGCACGAAACUUGC
This 2608-nucleotide ribosomal RNA is filed under the name Escherichia coli. RNAcentral describes it as "partial 23S ribosomal RNA". It matches the Rfam family "Bacterial large subunit ribosomal RNA". The record is from RNAcentral. Lineage: Bacteria; Pseudomonadati; Pseudomonadota; Gammaproteobacteria; Enterobacterales; Enterobacteriaceae.